GCCCUGGUAGCUCAAUUGGCUAGAGCGUGGGACUUUUAGGACCAAUGUACAUCCCAAGGUUGCGGGUUCGACCCCCGCCUGGGGCG
Molecule: non-coding RNA, 86 nt
Organism: Hypoxylon fuscum
Lineage: Eukaryota; Fungi; Ascomycota; Sordariomycetes; Xylariales; Hypoxylaceae
Source: the annotation of a GenBank genome assembly